CCGCAGCCUCAUCUUCUCUCCCUUCUUCUCUAAUCUAGAGCAUUUUUGAUCGUCCUCAUUCUUGAAUAUAUCCGCGUGCUUCUGCAUCUAGGUGAUCUUUUCUUUGUUGCUGGCUGAUCACUAGGUUUCCACGUAUGGUCUGCAGUUGCACCAACGAGGUUCACAUAAAUGAACCUCUACCAAAACACAAAGUCUAGCACUUGGA
Molecule: long non-coding RNA, 205 nt
Filed under: Elaeis guineensis (African oil palm)
Lineage: Eukaryota; Viridiplantae; Streptophyta; Magnoliopsida; Arecales; Arecaceae
Description: long non-coding RNA (EGUI_LNC031360)
Source: RNAcentral